GUGUCAGCAGCCGCGGUAAUACGUAGGGUGCGAGCGUUAAUCGGAAUUACUGGGCGUAAAGCGUGCGCAGGCGGUUCGUUGUGUCUGAUGUGAAAGCCCCGGGCUCAACCUGGGAACUGCAUUGGAAACUGGCGGACUUGAGUGUGGCAGAGGGGGGUGGAAUUCCGCGUGUAGCAGUGAAAUGCGUAGAGAUGCGGAGGAACACCGAUGGCGAAGGCAGCCCCCUGGGCCAACACUGACGCUCAGGCACGAAAGCGUGGGGAGCAAACAGGAUUAGAUACCCUGGUAGUCCACGCCCUAAACGAUGUCGACUGGGUGUCGGGAGAGAGAUCUCUUGGUACCGUAGCUAACGCGUGAAGUCGACCGCCUGGGGAGUACGGCCGCAAGGUUAAA
Molecule: ribosomal RNA, 393 nt
Filed under: uncultured bacterium
Lineage: Bacteria
Description: bacterial SSU rRNA
Rfam family: Bacterial small subunit ribosomal RNA
Source: RNAcentral